CUACAGUGAUCCGAUUGUUUUGAUAUUUAUCGUCUUGUUUUGGAGCGAGUUUUUGGACGAAAUAGAUUCAGAAUGUGUUACAAUUUUGUGUUAUAAUAAUAUCUGAAUCAUAUUCAAAUAGAAAAGUUCCAGCUUCGAGGAAGCAUGUCAGCGGAAUGAAUGAAAUAUUUCAACCGCAAUUCAAUGUACAAGAAAAACUAGCACAAGUGAGCAUAGGGUGUGAGCAUACCUUUUUCAAACUGUGAAUGGUCUUAAAAACGUUAAAAGCCACCGUUCUAAAGACCAACUUGUUGGAAUACGAUGGAGAAGAACUGGCUAGAGCUGUGUACUGGUUCAUUGUCAAUAUUUGGAAGGAAGAACGAAUACCGGUGGAGUGGAUGGAAGAUAUCGUGUGUCCAAUCUACAAAAAGAGCGACAAGCUGGAGUGCUGUAAUUACCGGGCAAUCACUCUGCUGUACGCCGCCUACAAGGUACUCUCCCAAAUACUCUGGCGUCGACUAUUACCAUUUGCGAAGCAGUUCGUGGGGCACUACCGGGCGGGAUUCAUGGGUGCCCACGCCACCACAGAUAUUCGCGCUUCGACAGGUCAUACAGAAAUGCCCGGAAUACAACGUGCCCACACAUCAUCUAUUCAUCGAUUUCAAAUCGGCAUUCGAUGGAAUCGAUCGAGACCAGCUUUGGUAAAUUGGACAUCCAACUGCUGAAAGUAGUCAAAUCGACCAUGGAUGAUGCGCUGAAACGUUUCCGUGAACGUACAUUUGUUGUUCUUAUGUCUAUUUCAAGCAGUAAAUGUGGAGCUGACGAUUGAAAAAUACUCGAUAUCACUUGAAAUCUUCACCUCUGAAACCCGUCUGCAGUGAACCACUUUCAAAGACGAACUGAGAGAUACAACUAUUAACCAUCUUGAAGGGAAAACAAUCAAAGUGUCACUAAUUCAAAUUUAAACUCAUUGAAACCCGCUUCCAAAGGCCAGACGAAGCAAAUGAUUACAAAUCAAUUUCAGAAUCGUUAGAAAGCUAAACUUCUGGAAAAAACGAUAACCUGAAACGAUUCCAAAUAAAGCUUAAAAUCAUCGAAAAGAUAAUAUGGUGCCACA
Wyeomyia smithii (pitcher-plant mosquito) is the source of this 1096-nucleotide long non-coding RNA. RefSeq lists it as uncharacterized. The transcript has 4 exons. The record is from RefSeq and is a predicted model, not a curated record. NCBI's taxonomy places the organism in Eukaryota, Metazoa, Arthropoda, Insecta, Diptera, Culicidae.